This 30-nucleotide small RNA is filed under the name Bombyx mori (domestic silkworm). Its description in RNAcentral is "ovarian small RNA-32181". Lineage: Eukaryota; Metazoa; Arthropoda; Insecta; Lepidoptera; Bombycidae. The record is from RNAcentral.
UGAGAUGUAAUGCGACGUGAGUGCGCCGGC